Molecule: ribosomal RNA, 484 nt
Filed under: uncultured bacterium
Lineage: Bacteria
Description: SSU rRNA
Rfam family: Bacterial small subunit ribosomal RNA
Source: RNAcentral
AGGACGAACGCUGGCGGCGUGCUUAACACAUGCAAGUCGUACGAUGAUGCCGCAACUUGUUGUGGUGGAUUAGUGGCGAACGGGUGAGUAACACGUGAGUAACCUGCCUUUCACUCUGGGAUAAGCCUUGGAAACGAGGUCUAAUACUGGAUAUGACUUCUUGCCGCAUGGUGGGGGUGGAAAGCCUUCGGGUGGUGGAUGAUGGACUCGCGGACUAUCAGCUUGUUGGUGGGGUUGUGGCCUACCAAGGCUUUGACGGUUAGCCGGCCUGAGAGGGUGAUCGGCCACAUUGGGACUGGGAUACGGCCCAGACUCCUACGGGAGGCAGCAGUGGGGAAUAUUGCACAAUGGGCGAAAGCCUGAUGCAGCGACGCCGCGUGGGGAUGAAGGCCUCGGUUGUAAACUCCUUUCGCUCGUGACGAAGCCUUUCGGGUGACGGUAGCGGGAGAGAAGCACCGGCUAACUACGUGCCAGCAGCCGCGGU